This 159-nucleotide ribosomal RNA is filed under the name Hypochnicium lyndoniae. RNAcentral describes it as "5.8S ribosomal RNA". It matches the Rfam family "5.8S ribosomal RNA". From Rfam's summary of the family: 5.8S ribosomal RNA (5.8S rRNA) is a component of the large subunit of the eukaryotic ribosome. It is transcribed by RNA polymerase I as part of the 45S precursor that also contains 18S and 28S rRNA. Lineage: Eukaryota; Fungi; Basidiomycota; Agaricomycetes; Polyporales. The record is from RNAcentral.
AUACAACUUUUAGCAACGGAUCUCUUGGCUCUCGCAUCGAUGAAGAACGCAGCGAAAUGCGAUAAGUAAUGUGAAUUGCAGAAUUCAGUGAAUCAUCGAAUCUUUGAACGCACCUUGCGCUCCUUGGUAUUCCGAGGAGCAUGCCUGUUUGAGUGUCAU